Molecule: long non-coding RNA, 25648 nt
Filed under: Vitis vinifera (wine grape)
Lineage: Eukaryota; Viridiplantae; Streptophyta; Magnoliopsida; Vitales; Vitaceae
Description: long non-coding RNA (VVIN_LNC007405)
Source: RNAcentral
GUUUCAUUUCAGUUCCUCGUAAUAGGCAAAGAUCGCCUACUUAGAAGAAACACAAAAAGGAAGUCGGUGUAAGGUAGGGAAUUUUAUGCUAUUCUAUGGUGUAUCUGAUUUCUUUCCUUGAAUUAUUUGUUGGAAUUUUAUGUUGUUUCUAUGAUUUCAUAAAAUCUUUUAAAGUGUCAUUGCAUCUCGGUUUAUUGCAUUGAAAUGUUACCAUGAUGCCAAAACGUAUAUUGGUAUGAAGAUUCGUGGUUUUGUGUUGUCGAAAUGGUUUAUGGUGUGAUUGCAUUGCAAGAAGGACAUGGAAUUAUCACAGAUCAUAUUCAGAGAAUUUAUUGGUGGCGAAGUGCUUAUGUGAUGCUACAGGCCUUAUCAUUUGUUAUAUUGUUUAUGUGGGACCGUGGGUCCUUGGGUGAAAGUCCCUAAAGCCCUCGAGGAAGACACUCCGAUGUGGGUGUAUGGGGUUGGUCCUGCCCCUGGGUUUUAGUCCCUAAAGACACGGGGUUGGUCCUGCCCUUGGGUAUGAGUCCCAAAAGACACGGGGUAUGACUUGCCCUUGGGUGAUGUCCCAGAAUAGUCAUUAUUAUAUUGAUCGAGUAUCUUAUGGAGCAUUGAUAUCUGCUGUGUAGAUUGUUGGGAGUCAGCAAAUUAUCAGUUGUGAAAGGAUGGAUGGGGAAAAGCAAUGAUGAAACCAACAAACACAUGCAUACAUGUUUGACAUGAUUACACAUUUGUUAAUUGUUAUGAAAUGUUUAUCAUGCAUGUUAUUAAACGUUUAAUUCAAGGUUUUUAAGGGUAUACUUAGGAUGGUUAUAAACUUUCCUACUGAGUUGUGAACUCACCCUAUUCCUUCCACCUAUAGAUGCAGGUCAGAAGACCUAUGCAGGAAAGAAUGCUUGAGCAAUGCUUUACUGUGAUUGGAUGCUGUUUGCUCAUAUUGAAAGUCUUUUGAGGCCAUGCCUUUUGUAUCAAGACUACACCUUUUGUUGGAAUGAUGUAAUGUAUAUAUUUGUUAGAUACACUUGUAGUAUGGGCUACCCGUAGUAAACAAUGGGGUUUGGUAUAUGUAAAUGAAUGUUGUACAAGUUUCUUUUGUGAAACAAAACAUAUUUUGUUAACUUAAUAGUCACAAUGUUUAAUACAGGAUGUACUCCUUAUAACAGGUUUUCCAUAUCCUCUUUUUGAACAAAUUCAAGUAGGAACUCAACAUUUAAGUUUUUGAGAGCACUUAUACUGUAUUUGAGUAUCAAUUGUUUAGUUGAAGAAUAAAUAAUAAUAAUAAUAAGAAAAAAAAAAUUGGGGUGUGACACAAUUAUAUUCCCCCAAACAAUUCAUGGAAUGCCAGCUUACAUUUCAAUUAGACCAAGGAUUACAGCAAGUUCUUUGGUCACUAUACUUAUUUCUUUCUUGCCAAUAGGAGAAACCGGUUUGGAGGUCAGAGGCCAAGAAUAUUUUUAGACCACCUAUGUAGACUAGCCUAACCUAGACUAAUAUUGUUUUUGUUAGAAUAUGAUAUACAAAAUAUGGGUCCAACUCUUGAUAACUUAAAACUUUGAGGAAAAUUGAUUACUUAACAGAAUCAGAUUUUAGGUUAUUUAGAGGUCUCGAGUUGAAAUCACUCCUCCAUUUAUUUAUUUGUCUAAUUAUGUGUAAUCACAAAUGUAUGAUUUAUCUACCACUACUAUGAUUUGGGAGGAUUGAGAUUUGUCUGCUACUACCAUGAUUUAUGCCUCUCAUGGUAGGUAUAGGGCCACAUGCAUGCAAUAGCAAAUGUGUGAUUUGUCAAUCAUGGGUAUAGGGCCACAAGUGCGUGAUAAAAAUGUGUGAUUUAUCUGUCACUAAUACCAUAGUUUGUCUCUCACACCCAAGGUGGGUACAGGAACAUGUUUGAGGGGGGUGUGAACAUGAUAUACGUUUGUCUAUCACUAUUGCAAUUUGAGAGGAUGAUCACAAAUGUAUGAUUUCUUUGUCAUUAUUGUCACUAUUAGGCUUGUGUUUUUACUCAAAGUGUUUUUAGUGGAAGCAUUUCUGAAAGUGUCUUUAGGAACCAAUCUAAUAAUGUUUCUUAAAAAAAAAUAUUACAAUAAUGAUUUUUCAAAAUUUUAAAAGUAUUUUUUAAUUUUGUUAAACAUCUAAUUUUUUAGUUUAAAAAUAAUUUCUAAAAUUACUGUCAAAUGCACUAUCAUCAAGCCUUUUUAAAAAAAAAUUAGUAAGUGUUAAAAUCUAUUACAAUAUAUAAAUUUUGAAACUAACUUUAAAAUAUUUUUUAAAACGGUUUUUUUUUGUUAUUUACAACAAAAAUAGUUUUCAAUUAUUAAAUUGUUUUUUUAAAAAUAAAAUUCUAACUUAAAAAAUAGGUUUAACAAACUUUCGACAAAUAUAAAUUUUUGAAAAUUUGUUUUAAAAAUAAAUUAUUAUUUUUAGAACAAAUCUUAGGUGUUUUUAAUUAUUUUUUUAUAUUAAAUAAUAAUUUAAAAUAUAAAUCAUUUUUUGAAAACUUUAAUAUGGGACACAAAUUGGUUUUUCUUUUUUCUCCUUCAAUUUGUUUAAGUUAAAGUAUUGUAAUUGAUAUUUAAGCUAAAAAUUUAAUCACCAUGUACCCAAAGAUUAGGUUGUGCCAAAUUUAUUUUUAACCUAAAUUCGGCCCAUUGGCUUGCCCACCUAGAAUUUUGGGCCCCACCUCAAAUAAAAGCGAAGCUCAAACCUGAACCCCUUAAAAAUAUCUAGGCCAGGUUGGGCUAAGAAUUAAAUUCCUCAUAAUAGGCAUCCAACCAAGGGAAUGAAAGUACCCAAUGGGAUUGCAUUUUAGUUGGGCCUUUUCAGUCUUCUGUUUGUUGGAAUAAAAGGACCCAAUGGGCUUGUAUUUUUAGUUGGACCCUCCAAUUAUUUUUUUAACCUCAUCCUAAACAGCCCAAAGACCCAAAAGAAAAAAAAAAUGUUUUCUUUGAAAAGUAUAUCCAAUGCCUCCUAAAUAAAUUGUUUAUAUUUUACUAUAAACUUUUAUGAAUAGAAAUUUCAAUAUUAUAAUAAAUAUAUAUUACUGCCAUUUUUUUUUUUUGAGAAAAUCGCUUUUAAUUAGUUAAAGGGAAAUUUAAUUAGAAAGUAGUUUCAGGAAUUUGGUUAAUUAUGAUUUAAAAUUACCAUAAGUUUGAAAAAUAAUAUAUAAGUAUUUAUCAUUGUAACAUUUUGACCAGAAUAAGAAUAUUAAAAUUUUAAAUAAUUUUUUUUGUUGAUAGAAAAUUUGACCUAUAGUUAAAUAAAUCAUUAUAUAAUUUAAAAACCAAAUUUUAAUAUUUUUCAUCGUUUAUAGAAGAAUCCUAAUUAAGCAAUCUUAGGACCCGUUUGGCAUAUUUUCUGAAAAUUGCUUUUAAAAACUAUUUUUUAUUCUUUAACUUAAAAACAAGUUUUAAAAAUAUAAUCAAACAUACCCAUAUUUUUAUUUUUAUUUAAAAAAAAAGGUGAAAACAAUUCCUACUUGUGUUUCUAAAAAUUAAUUUUUACUUCAUUUUAAUUUUAAAAUUUUUUUAAAAAAUAUAUGAAAAGUGUUUUUAAUUAUUAUUUUAAAAAAAAUAUUAUUUUUAGAACAAAUCUUAGGUGUUUUAUAUUAAAUAAUAAAUUAAAAUAUGAAUAAUUUUUUGAAAACUUUAAUAUGGGACACAAAUCGGUUUUUUUUUUUCCUUCAAUUUGUUUUAAGUUAAAGUAUUGUAAUUGAUAUUUAAGUUAAAAAUUUAAUCACCAUGUACCCAAAGAUUAGGUUGUGCCAAAUUUAUUUUUAACCUGAAUUUGGCCAAUUAGCUUGCUCAACUUGAAUUUUGGGCCUUACCUCAAAUAAAAGUGAAACUCGAACCUAAACUCCUUAAAAAUAUUUAGGCCAGAUUGGGCUAAGAAUUAAAUUCCUCAAAAUAGGCAUCCAACCAAGGGAAUGAAAGUACCCAAUAGACUUGCAUUUUAGUUGGGCCUUUUCAGUCUAUUGUUUGUUGGAAUGAAAGGACCCAAUGGGCUUAUAUUUUUAGUUAGGCCCUCCAAUUAUUUUUUUUAACCUCAUCCUAAACAACCCAAGGACCCAAAAGAAAAAAAAAAAUUGUUUUCUUUGAGAAGUAUAUCCCAACGCCUCCUAAAUAAAUUGUUUAUAUUUUACUAUAAACUUUUAUAGAUAGAAAUUUCAAUAUUAUAAUAAAUAAAUAUUACAACCAUUUUUUUUUUGAGAAAAUCGCUUUUAAUUAGUUAAAGGAAAAUUUAAUUAGAAAGUAGUUUAAGGAAUUUGGUUAAGUAUGAUUUAAAAUUAACAUAAGUUUGAAAAAUAAUAUCUCAAUAUUUAUCAAUGUAACAUAUUGACAAGAAUAAGAAUAUUUAGAUUUUAAAUAAUUUUUUAUUUUGAUAGAAAAUUUGACCUAUAGUUAAAUAAAUCAUUAUAUUAUUUAAAAACCAAAUUUUAAUAUCUUUCAUCUUUUAUAGAAGAUGCCUAAUUAAGCAAACUUAGGACCCGUUUGGCAUAUAUUUCUGAAAAUUGCUUUUAAAAACUAUUUUUUAUUCUUUAACUGAAAAACAAAUUUUUAAAAACAUAAUAAAACAAACCCAUAUUUUUAUUUUUAUUUUUUAAAAAAAAACAAGUGAACAAUUCCUACUUGUGUUUCGAAAAAUUAUUUUUUAUUUCAUUUUCUUUUUAAAAAUUGUUUAAAAAAUAUUUAAAAAUGAUUUUUAAUUAUUCUUUUUAAAAGUUUGUUUUAAUUAUUAGAAUAAAUCUUAAGCGUUUUUAAUUAUUUUUUAUAUUAAAUAAUAAUUUAAAAUAUAAAUAUUUUUUGAAAACUUUAAUAUGGGACACAAAUUGGUUUUUCCUUUUUUUCCUUCAAUUUGUUUAAGUUAAAGUAUUUUAGACCCCCUCAGAUGUGGGACCUUUUUUUUUGUUUUCUGAUUUUUUAUUUUUUAUUUUUCCUUCUUCCUUACGCCUUCUUACCACCCCAACAUUGAGCUGCAUGGGGUAGCUGGACAGGACUAGCAACCAAAGAGGACUGAUGAGUGAGCUAUUCUUGAGCAGGCAAGAUGACGACGACGGAAGUGAAAGAAAAGCAGCUGACGAACGAGCUGCUUAGGAAAAAGGAGACAUAGUUGAGUAGAAAAGAAGCACAAUUAAAGAAAGAGGGGACACAACUGAGCAAAAUGUGGCUGGUUAUAGAAAACGGUGGGUAAAAGGAGAAAAAGGAGUUUUUUUUUAGGGGAAGGCAGUUGGGAGAGUUGACAUAGAGGAUUAGGAGAGAAACGAAAAAAAGAAGGGGUUAGGAGAAAAGGAAGGGAGUGAGGAGUAAAACUGGAGAUCUUUUGAGGUUUUGAGAAGAGCGGUGUUUGUGACAGAGAGUAGGGUUGUGAUGGAGGUUGCUUGAGAUAGGCAACUAGAGGCUUGCUUAGAGAGGAGACUUCCAGGUAAAGCCUCUGUAAACUUCGCAUUUUUCCUCAUUUUCACAUUGCUUUACGACAUUUUUUUUACAGAUUUUGGAGUAUGAUUUUCAUUGAUUGGUUUGGGCAUCAAAGAUUACUGGUUUGUUUUGUUGAAUAUGUUUGCAUGCAUAUAUGCUUUGUGUGAUUUUACUUUGGUUUCCUGGACUCCUAUUGCAAGUAGUUGAUGCAUGGCUUCAUCCCUGAACUUGAUAUGUAAAAAUCAUGCUUUUGUUUCUUGUUGAUGCUACCUGCUUCUAGCUCUUUGAUAGUCCAUGACAUAGAGCUGGGUUCGAACUCUGUUUUCACGCUUUUAUUCUCCUUUGUUUGUGGCUCUGUUUCUUGAUGAUGGUGGGGUGAUAUUCAUCAAUGGCCAAGUUACUAGGAUAGGAGUGUAUACAAGGGGAUGAGUUGAUGAACCUACUAUGGAAUAAAUCUGAACCCAUAUGCUAUGAUAGCUUUGAAUCUACUGGCAGAAUGCACAUUGCUCAACGAUGACGAAGACAAUAAGUGUGACCAAGCUCAUUUCUGCCAUAUGCAAAGCUCAGAUAUGGAUUACAAUUUGAUUUGCCCAACAAAUGGAAAAGGUUAUGCGAGCAUUAGGCGAUGAUUCUAGGGUACAGGUCCAUGUUCGCGUUGGUGGGACCAGUUUCUAUGAAGAUCGACGCAUUAUCUUAAGCGGGGUUCAUGUCAUUAUGGGUGUUGGUGAUGGGGUCCUGAAGUCAUGGUUGAUGCCCUAUAUGAGUUUGCUCCUUAUAUAUGGCAUACAACUGCUGCCAUGUUUCCUGCUGGAAUGCUGGAGGUUGGGUGUUGGAGCUUUUGAUACAGAUUCGACAAGAAGGCGAAUGCCAUUCCAGUAGCAAAAGUGUGUUUCCCAUUGAAGCCACCUUCAUACCCAUUUUUCAAUCCCCCAUACCCAUCAACACUCUUUUCCAAUACCCAUUAACCUGCAUUCUUUUCACCAUCACUUCCUGUGUGCGUGAAAUCCAUGUACGUUCCACCACUCACCACCCUCUAUCUAACCAUGUCACCACCCUCUUCUCUCUCUACAUCAUCAACACCCACUGCCUGUUUCCUCACACCCAUCUCAUACCCAUUUUCCAACCACCCCACUUACCCAUUUCAAACACCAUGCUCCCAUCACCCAUGCCACCCGUGAGCAAGAACACUAACCCAUUUCCGUUAUCUCUCUCACUACUCGCUCUCUACUCAACACCAAUUCCCCCCAUGUAUGGCCAUCCUUGUUUCUCUCACUUAUCCACCACACCUAUUGCCACAACUUAUUCCUCCAUCUCACCACCUUUCCUAAUCACCACACCCAUUUCAUACCUGCAUGCAUAGCCAUGUGUGCAUGGCCAUCCGUCACUCUUCUCACACUUUUCUCCAUCCCUUUCCACCAUCAUACCCCCUUACCCAUUUCACCAAUUAUAUCCAUACCCUUCAUGACCCUCUUUCGGUCCUCUUCCUUUCAUUCCCCAUGAACCUAAGCCCCCUUGUCAACCAAAUACCCACCACCACCUAUAACUCCAUCUUCAUACCCGUUUCUCUCUCUACACCACGUACCCAUUUUUCACUCAUACCCAUUAAACCCAUUCUCUCCCACCUUUGCAUGGCUAUACAUGGCCACAUUAACCUCCACUCCCCAUUCCAUUAAUCCCAUGCUCAUAUUCUCCCAUGCCCUUCACCCCUCACCAUCCAUCCAAUCCACCCUCUUCUCAUUUUUAUUAUUUUUCACGUACAUGGAACCCCAUGCACACGACCACCACCAUCUUCCCACUCUUCAUACUCAACACCCACAAGUCCAUUUCCGUUAUCUCUCAUGAGCAUUUAACCUCCACGUCGCUUAUCCAAAAUUCAUCAAGGUAUAAAAAUAGUUCGCGUUCAAGCCAAGGUCGUACUUCGUGCUUUCUCUUAAGGUUAUGUGAAUGCCAUUUCUGAGUUGAACAGUGCAAAUAGGCUGUAAUCAGGUCCUAGGGAUUUUUUUUGGACAUGUUCAUCGUUUCUAUUUCCUUUGCUCAAAAAUCUAGGAGGUCACCAAAGGCGGGCACGCUCCAAGGUCAAUUUUCGGAUCCCGAAAAACCUACAUCUCGUUUUCGGUCCCUUCAGCAUUCCCUCUGCAGGUUGGGAGGAAACAGAAUCCGAGAACGAUCACUUCUACACACACGUUGACAUCGAAAAGUUCAGAUCUAGGCUUGAAGGUGACACCCAAAUCGACAAUCCCAACGGUGGUUUGGCUGCGGAGAGCGGCGACGAAAAGAAGAGCUCUAUGCUUCGGCGCCGACACUAUAAUCCGAUGGACAGCUCGUCAAUGUCGAGAGAGGAGGGUCCAUUUGUGGGCACUACCUAGGCCGAGAAGGUAAUGGCCUUAGAUAAGCUCGCUGAGCUUUUGGGCACUCGUUCCGAAGUGAGCCAAGAGAAUUCUAACAAAUCAGGAACCUGCUCUUCGUUCUCCAUUCAGUGCCUAUACUCUCCUUACUGAAUUCAGGCACUGUCAAUGGUCAUCGAAAGAAGUCAUUGUUGAGGCCUCGCGUCCCUGGUGAUCCAUGUAGUUGUCAAAUGGAUGGACGCACGAUCUCAACCAAUAUAGAUUCUUGAUUCAAUCGCACUACCUGCAAAAGGCGUCCGGACAGGGUGUCCGGACGCACCCUCCGAUGGUUUUGUCAGCCAUAGUUAGAGAGAGAGAUAAAUCAGUUGGCCUUUUACUAGGUACAGCAAGCUUACCUUCUUCUUUGUGUGAAGGUUCAUAUAUAUAGUAUCAGAGGCUUUGUUUCUCUCUUUAAUGGCAGGGAGAUAUUUUGUGUUGUCAUGAUGACACUAGGUGGUGGCAGGGCCAUCAUCACCCUACGGGCGGCUGACAGAGAUCGUGGUAGUUGUUGCGAUUGUCAGAAAUCGUGGGAAGUGAUCGUAGGAAGUGACUUGAUGUCACUUCAUUCUUGUCCUUUCACCCUGCAAGUGGCGGAACGUGGGCCAUGGCAGGUUGUUGUGAUAACGUGUAAGACUUGCUUACUUCAGUCAAUGAUCCGGACAAACAUAUCCGGAUAAUGUAUGUCGAUCGUCCGGAUGUGCUGUGGCAGUCGUCCGGAUGUUAUGUUUGUGAGUGUCGUGUGCCUCUCCUUGAGGGGGUCCGGAUAGGAGAGACGUGCCACGUGUACUCUUGGGGAAAUCCGAAUGAGGUUAACCCGGAUGAGAAUGUGUGCCACGCGUCAUCAGGAGAUGUGUGCCACGUGUGGGGAGGGGUCCCUAUAGUCAUCCCUUUGAACUCCCCUUCUGAAUUCCAUCAGAUUCACUCAGGUUAAUGGAUUAUAUAUUAAUCCUCUACCAUGUGAAGAAGAUGUGAAAGGUAAAGUUGAAUCAUCGCCUAGGGUGGAUACUGACUUGGAGAUUGAAAGUCGUUAUGCAGAAGUUUCAUUUGUUGACAAGCUUGAUGCAGAUAAUGGUGAUGGGCAUGGGUUACAGGGAGCGAAAUUUUCAUCCAUUGAUAAGUUUAGGGUUGACAAUGCUGGUGGCGUAUAGUGGGAAUCAAUUGGCUAAUGUUAACCGAAGGGGUGCUUUUCCAGCUGGGGCCUAGAAUGAAAUGAUCUGCGCAUGGUGCACCUUAUGCAUGGCCACCUUUGGGCCACGUGCUACCUCCUGUUCCAUCAUCUUUGAUUUUGAAAAUGAUUCCCCAAACCCUCUUUUGUAAAUAAUUUUCAAAAUUCAGGUUGUUAAAUAAUUUCAAAUCUCCAAAUUUUUCAUACUUCGCAUUUUUCUUAGGCUCCAAAAAUUAGUUUUCCAAUAAAAUUUGCUGUCAUUUUCUUUGGCAUGCAUUUUUCACAACUUCCAUGAUUUUAAAAUGUUUUGAAAUAAGCGUGAAUUUAAUCUCGUAAUUUUGGAUAAUGGAGUUAUUGGAAUGGAUUCAUGCAAAAUAAAAUGCCUGUGGUGGGGGCCCAACAUCAAAAAAAGUUUUAUUUAAAAUAAAAAUGAACUUGAGUGAAGCGCCAGGUGUGUCAUUGGUGAUUUCGUAUUCGAUUUAAUGACAUGUGAGCCAUAUUUUAUGUUCAUUAAUUGUGCACUAACUCGAUUUCUUAAUAGCACAUUAUGGCUCGUUGCCAAGGUAUGCACCCAUUUUCACUCUGGCAAUUCUUAUGCGUGUUUUGAUCUCCACGUUGUGCAUGAUAGUUCCAAAUAUCCAUUGAUUUCCUUAUCAAUUGCCAUGAUUAUUUCAUUUUAUUAGUAGAGACCCGUUUUUAGGGACUUAGAGGGGUGCUAUGGUUCUUACCGUACCUUCCCGAUAAGUAACCUGACCCCCGAGCCCCGACAUGGUUUUCACAUACCACCUUUUCCAAAUAAGAAGUCACACUUAGGAUUUUCUUUCUUAUUUUGUUUACCCUUUAAAAAUCAAACAAAAAUAAGUGACGACUCCAAGUCAUUUUCUUAAUAAAUAAAUCAUUUUUCAAAAUAAAAAGCGAGUUCGCCAUCGAAUUGAAGCGCAUGAGCUGAAAUGUGGGGUACACAAGUAUUGUCAUUGAUAUUUAAGCUAAAAAUUUAAUCACCAUGUACCCAAAGAUUGGGUUGUGCCAAAUUUAUUUUUAACCUGAAUUCGACCCAUUGACUUGCCCAACUUGAAUUUUGGGCCUCACCUCAAAUAAAAGCGAAGCUCGAACCUUAACCACUUAAAAAUAUUUGGGUUAGGUUGGGCUAAGAAAUAAAUUCCCCAGAAUAGCCAUCCAACCAAGGGAAUGAAAGUACCCAAUGGGCUUUCAUUUUAGUUUGGCCUUUUUAGUCUUUUGUUUGUUGGAAUGGAAUUACCCAAUGGGCUUGUAUUUUUAGUUGGACCCUCCAAUUAUUUUUUUAACCUCAUCCUAAACACCCCAAGGACCCAAAAGAAAAAAAAAUUGUUUUCUUUGAGAAGUAUAUCCCAACGCCUCCUAAAUAAAUUAUUAAUAUUUUACUAUAAACUUUUAUAAAUAGAAAUUUCAAUAUCAUAAUAAAUAAAUAUUACUGCUUUUUUUUUUUUUUUUGAGAAAAACUUUUAAUUAGGUAAAGGGAAAUUUAAUUAGAAAGUAGUUUAAGGAAUUUGGUUAAUUAUGAUUUAAAAUUACCGUAAGUUUGAAAAAUAAUAUCUAAGUAUUUAUCAUUGUAACAUAUUGACCAAAAUAAGAAUAUUAAAAUUUUAAAUAAUUCUUUAUUUUGAUAGAAAAUUUAACCUAUAGUUAAAUGAAUCAUUAUAUUAUUUAAAAACCAAAUUUUAAUAUGUUUCAUCUUUUAUAGAAGAACCCUAACUAAGCAAUCUUAGGACCCGUUUGGCAUAUUUUCUGAAAAUUGCUUUUAAAAACUAUUUUUUAUUCUUUAACUUAACAACAAGUUUUAAAAAACAUAAUCAAACAAACCCAUAUUUUCAUUUUUAUUUUUUAAAAAAAACAGUUGAAAACAAUUCCUACUUGUGUUUCUAAAAAUUAUUUUUUAUUUCAUUUUAAUUUUAAAAAUUGUUUAAAAUAUUAUAAAAAAAUAUUUUUAAUUAUUAUUUUUAAAUUUUGUUUUAAAAAUAAAUUAUUAUUUUUAGAAAAAAUCUUUGGUGUUUUUUAAUUAUUUUUUAUAUUAAAUAAUAAUUUAAAAUAUAAAUAAGUUUUUGAAAACUUUAAUAUGAGACACAAAUUGGUUUUUCAUUUUUUUUCCUUCAAUUUUUUUAAAUUAAAGUGUUGUAAUUGAUAUUUAAGCUAAAAAUUUAAUCACCAUGUACCCAGAGAUUGGGUUGUGCCAAAUUUAUUUUUAACCUAAAUUCUAUCCAUUGGCUUGCCCAACAUAAAUUUUGGGCCUCACCUUAAAUAAAAGCGAAGCUCAAACCUUAACCCCUUAAAAAUAUCUGGGCAAGGUUGGGCUAAUAAAUAAAUUCCUCAGAAUAGACAUCCAACCAAGACAAUGAAAGUACACAAUGGGCUUCCUUUUUAGUUGGGCCUUUUCACUCAUUUGUUUGUUGGAAUGGAAUGACCCAAUGGGCUUGUAUUUUUAGUUGGAUCUUCCAAUUAUUUUUUUAACCUCAUCCUAAACACUCCAAGGACCCAAAAGAAAAAAAAAAAUUUGUUUUCUUAGAGAAGUAUAUCCCAACGCCUCCUAAAUAAUUUGUUAAUAUUUUACUAUAAACUUUUAUAAAUUGAAAUUUCAAUAUUAUAAUAAAUAAAUAAGGAGUCACACUUAGGGUUUUCUUUCUUAUUUUGUUUACACUUUAAAAAAAAUAAGUGACGACUCCAAGUCACUUUCUUAAUAAAUAAAUCAUUUUUCAAAAUAAAAAGCGAGUUUGCCAUCGAGUUGAAGCGCAUGAGCCGAAAUACGGGGUCCACAAGUAUUGUAAUUGAUAUUUAAGCUAAAAAUUUAAUCACCAUGUACCCAAAGAUUGGGUUGUGCCAAAUUUAUUUUUAAGUUGAAUUCGGCCCAUUGGCUUGCCCAACUUGAAUUUUGGGCCUCACCUCAAAUAAAAGCGAAGCUUGAACCUUAACAACUUAAAAAUAUCUGGGCCAGGUUGGGCUAAGAAAUAAAUUCCUCAAAAUAGCCAUCUAACCAAGGGAAUGAAAGUACCCAGUGGGUUUUCAUUUUAGUUUGGCCUUUUCAGUCUUUUGUUUGUUGGAAUGGAAUUACCCAAUGGGCUUGUAUUUUUAGUUAGACCCUCCAAUUAUUUUUUUAACCUCAUCCUAAGCAGCCCAAGAACCCAAAAGAAAAAAAAAAUUGUUUUCUUUGAGAAGUAUAUCCCAACGUCUCCUAAAUAAAUUGUUAAUAUUUUACUAUAAACUUUUAUACAUAGAAAUUUCAAUAUUAUAAUAAAUAAAUAUUACUAUUUAGUUAUUUAUAAAUAAAUAAACAAAUAAAUAAAUAAGGAGUCACACUUAGUGUUUUCUUUCUUAUUUUGUUUACACUUUAAAAAAAAAUAAAAAAUAAGUGACGACUCCAAGUCAAUUUGUUAAUAAAUAAAUCAUUUUUCAAAAUAAAAAGCUAGUUUGCCAUCGAGUUGAAGCGCAUGAGCCGAAAUGCGGGGUCCACAAGUAUUGUAAUUGAUAUUUAAGCUAAAAAUUUAAUCUCCAUGUACCCAAAGAUUGGGUUGUGCCAAAUUUAUUUUUAACAUGAAUCCGGCCCAUUGGCUUGCCCAACUUAAAUUUUGGGCCUCACCUCAAAUAAAAGCGAAGCUCGAACCUUAACCACUUAAAAAUAUUUGGGCUACGUUGGGGUAAGAAAUAAAUUCCUCAUAAUAGCCAUCCAACCAAGGGAAUGAAAGUACCCAAUGGGCUUUCAUUUUAGUUUGGCUUUUUCGGUCUUUUGUUUGUUGGAAUGGAAUUACCCAAUGGGCUUGUAUUUUUAGUUGGACCCUCCAAUUAUUUUUUUAACCUCAUCCUAAACACCCCAAGGACCCAAAAGAAAAAAAAAAUUGUUUUCUUUGAGAAGUAUAUCCCAACGCCUCCUAAAUAAAUUGUUAAUAUUUUACUAUAAACUUUUAUAAAUAGAAAUUUCAAUAUUAUAAUAAAUAAAUAAGGAGUCACACUUAGGGUUUUCUUUCUUAUUUUGUUUACCCUUUAAAAAUAAAACAAAAAUAAGUGACGACUCCAAGUCAUUUUCUUAAUAAAUAAAUCAUUUUUCAAAAUAAAAAGCGAGUUCACCAUCGAGUUGAAGCGCAUGAGCCGAAAUGCGGGGUCCACAAGUAAUGUAAUUGAUAUUUAAGCUAAAAAUUUAAUCACCAUGUACCCAAAGAUUGGGUUGUGCCAAAUUUAUUUUUAACCUAAAUUCGGCCCAUUAGCUUGCCCAACUUGAAUUUUGGGCCUCACCUCAAAUAAAAGCGAAGGUCGAACCUUAACCACUUAAAAAUAUUUGGGCCAGGUUGGGCUAAUAAAUAAAUUCCUCAUAAUAGCCAUCAAACCAAGGGAAUGAAAGUACCCAAUGGGCUUUCAUUUUAGUUUGGCCUUUUCAGUCUUUUAUUUAUUGGAAUGGAAUUACCCAAUGGGCUUGUAUUAUUAGUUGGACCCUCCAAUUAUUUUUUUAACCUCAUCCUAAACACCCCAAGGACCCAAAAGAAAAAAAAAAAUUAUUUUCUUUGAGAAGUAUAUUCCAUCGUCUCCUAAAUAAAUUGUUGAUAUUUUACUAUAAAAUUUUAUAAAUAGAAAUUUCAAUAUUAUAAUAAAUAAAUAAGGAGUCACACUUAGUGUUUUCUUUCUUAUUUUGUUUACCCUUUAAAAAUAAAACAAAAAUAAGUGACGACUCCAAGCAUUUUCUUAAUAAAUAAAUCAUUUUUCAAAAUAAAAAGCGAGUUCGCCAUUGAGGUUAAGUGCAUGAGCCGAAAUGCGGGGUCCACAAGUAAUGUAAUUGAUAUUUAAGCUAAAAAUGUAAUCACCAUGUACCCAAAGAUUGGGUUGUGCCAAAUUUAUUUUUAACCUGAAUUCGGCCCAUUGGCUUGCCCAACUUGAAUAUUGGGCCUCACCUCAAAUAAAAGUGAAGCUUGAACCUUAACCACUUAAAAAUAUCUGGGCCAGCUUGGGCUGAUAAAUAAAUUCCUCAUAAUAGCCAUCCAACCAAAGGAAUGGAAGUACCCAAUGGGCUUUCAUUUUAGUUUGGCCUUUUCAGUCUUUUAUUUGUUGGAAUAGAAUUGCCCAAUGGGCUUGUAUUUUUAGUUGGACCCUCCAAUUAUUUUUUUAACCUCAUCCUAAACACCCCAAGGACCCAAAAGAAAAAACAAAUUUGUUUUCUUCGAGAAGUAUAUCCCAUCGUCUCCUAAAUAAAUUGUUAAUAUUUUACUAUAAACUUUUAUAAAUAGAAAUUUCAAUAUUAUAAUAAAUAAAUAAGGAGUCACACUUAGGGUUUUCUUUCUUAUUUUGUUUACCCUUUAAAAAUAAAACAAAAAUAAGUGACGACUCCAAGUCAUUUUCUUAAUAAAUAAAUCAUUUUUCAAAAUAAAAAGCGAGUUCACCAUCGAGUUGAAGCGCAUGAGCCGAAAUGCGGGGUCCACAAGUAAUGUAAUUGAUAUUUAAGCUAAAAAUUUAAUCACCAUGUACCCAAAGAUUGGGUUGUGCCAAAUUUAUUUUUAACCUAAAUUCGGCCCAUUAGCUUGCCCAACUUGAAUUUUGGGCCUCACCUCAAAUAAAAGCGAAGGUCGAACCUUAACCACUUAAAAAUAUUUGGGCUAGGUUGGGCUAAUAAAUAAAUUCCUCAUAAUAGCCAUCCAACCAAGGGAAUGAAAGUACCCAAUGGGCUUUCAUUUUAGUUUGGCCUUUUCAGUCUUUUAUUUGUUGGAAUGGAAUUACCCAAUGGGCUUGUAUUAUUAGUUGGACCCUCCAAUUAUUUUUUUAACCUCAUCCUAAACACCCCAAGGACCCAAAAGAAAAAAAAAAAUUGUUUUCUUUGAGAAGUAUAUCCCAUCGUCUCCUAAAUAAAUUGUUAAUAUUUUACUAUAAACUUUUAUAAAUAGAAAUUUCAAUAUUAUAAUAAAUAAAUAAGGAGUCACACUUAGGGUUUUCUUUCUUAUUUUGUUUACCCGUUAAAAAUAAAACAAAAAUAAGUGACAACUUCAAGCAUUUUCUUAAUAAAUAAAUCAUUUUUCAAAAUAAAAAGCGAGUUCGUCAUCGAGUUGAAGCGCAUGAGCCGAAAUACGGGGUCCACAAUUAAUGUAAUUGAUAUUUAAGCUAAAAAUUUAAUCACCAUGUACCCAAAGAUUGGGUUGUGCCAAAUUUAUUUUUAACAUGAAUUCGGCCCAUUGGCUUUCCCAACUUGAAUUUUGGGCCUCACCUCAAAUAAAAGCGAAGCUCGAACCUUAACCACUUAAAAAAUAUCUGGGCCAGGUUGGGCUAAGAAAUAAAUUCCUUAGAAUAGCCAUCCAACCAAGGGAAUGAAAGUACCCAAUGGGCCUUCAUUUUAGUUAGGCCUUUUCUGUCUUUUGUUUGUUGGAAUGGAAUUGCCCAAUGGGCUUGUAUUUUUAGUUGGGCCCUCCAAUUAUUUUUUUAACCUCAUCCUAAACAUCCCAUGGACCCAAAAGAAAAAAAAAAAUUGUAUUCUUUGAGAAGUAUAUUCCAACGCCUCCUAAAUAAAUUGCUAAUAUUUUAUUAUAAACUUUGAUAAAUAGAAAUUUUAAUAUUAUAAUAAAUAAAUAUUACUACAUUUUUUUUUUUUGAGAAAUCUCUUUUAAGUAGUUAAAGGGAAAUUUAAUUAGAAAGUAGUUUAAGGAAUUUGGUUAAUUAUGAUUUAAAAUUAUCAUAAGUUUGAAAAAUAAUAUCUAAAUAUUUAUCAUUGUAACAUAUUGACCAGAAUAAGAAUAUUAAAAUUUUAAAUAAUUUUUUAUUUUGAUAGAAAAUUUAACCUAUAGUUAAAUAAAUCAUUAUAUUAUUUAAACAUCAAAUUUUAAUAUGUUUCAUCUUUUUCAGAAGAACCCUAACUAAGCAAUCUUAGAACUCGUUUGGCAUAUUUUCUAAAAAUUGCUUUUAAAAACUAUUUUUUAUUCUUUAACUUAAAAACAAGUUUUUAGAAACAUAAUAAAACAAACCCAUAUUUUUAUUUUUAUUUUUAAAAAACAGCUGAAAACAAUUGAUACUUCUGUUUCUAAAAAUUAUUUUUUAUUUCAUUUUAAUUUUAAAAAUUGUUUAAAAAUAUAUAUAAAAAAAUGUUUUUAAUUAUUAUUUUUAAAAUUUAGUUUUAAAAAUAAACUAUUAUUUUUAGAACAAGUCUUUAGUGUUUUUUAAUUAUUUUUUAUAUUAAAUAAUAAUUUUAAAUAUAAAUAAUUUUUUGAAAACUUUAAUAUGGGACACAAAUUGGUUUUUCAUUUUUUUUCCUUCAAUUUUUUUAAGUUAAAGUAUUGUGAUUGAUAUUUAAGCUAAAAUUUUAAUCACCAUGUACCCAAAGAUUUGGUUGUGCCAAAUUUAUUUUAAACCUGAAUUCGGCCCAUUGGCUUGCCCAACUUGAAUUUUGGGCCUCACCUCAAAUAAAAACGAAGCCUGAACAUGACCCCUUAAAAAUAUUUGGGCCAGGUUGGGCUAAGAAUUAAAUUCCUCAUAAUAGGCAUCCAAUAAAGGGAAUGAAGGUACCUAAUGGGCUUGCAUUCGUUGUGCCUUUUCAGUCUUUUGUUCUGUGGAAUGAAAUGACCCAAUGGGCUUGUAUUUUUAGUAGGGCCCUUCAAUUAUUUUUUUAACCUCAUCCUAAACAUCCCAAGGACCCAAAAGAAACAAAAAAUUGUUUUCUUUGAGAAGUAUAUCCCAACACCUCCUAAAUAAAUUGUUAAUAUUUUACUAUAAACUUUUAUAAAUAGAAAUUUCAAUAUUAUAAUAAAUAAAUAUUACUACCUUUUUUUUUUCUUUUUUUUUAUAGAGAAAAUCGCUUUUAAUUAGUUAAAGGGAAAUAUAAUUAAAAAGUAGUUUAAGGAAUUUGGUUAAUUAUGAUUUAAAAUUACCAUAAGUUUUAAAAAUAAUAUCUAAGUAUUUAUCAUUGUGACAUAUUGACCAGAAUAAGAAUAUUAAAAUUUUAAAUAAUUUUUUAUUUUGAUAGAAAAUUUAACCUAUAGUUAAAUAAAUCAUUAUAUUAUUUAAACACCAAAUUUUAAUAUGUUUCAUCUUUUAUAGAAGAACCCUAACUAAGCAAUCUUAGGACCCGUUUGGCAUAUUUUUUGAAAAUUGAUUUUAAAAACUAUUUUUUAUUCUUUAACUUAAAAACAAGUUUUAAAAAACAUAAUCAAACAAACCUAUAUUUUUAUUUUUAUUUUUAUUUUUAAAAAAUAGCUAAAAUAAAUUCCUACUUGUGUUUAUAAAAUUAUUUUUUUAUUUCAUUUUAAUUUUAAAAAUUGUUUAAAAAAUAUAAAAAAAUGUUUUUAAUUAUUAUUUUUAAAAUUUUGUUUUAAAAAUAAAUUAUUUUUUUAGAACAAAUCUUUGGUGUUGUUUAAUUAUUUUUUAUAUUAAAUAAUAAUUUAAAAUAUAAAUAAUUUUUUGAAAACUUUAAUAUGGGACCCAAAUCGGUUUUUCAUUUUUUUUUCCUUCAAUUUUUUUAAGUUAAAGUAUUGUAAUUCAUAUUUAAGCUAAAAAUUUAAUCACCAUGUACCCAAAGAUUAGGUUGUGCCAAAUUUAUUUUUAACCUGAAUUGGGCCAAUUGGCUUGCCCAACUUAAAUUUUUGGCCUCACCUCAAAUAAAAAUGAAGCUCGAACGUGACCCCUUAAAAAUAUCUGGGCCAGGUUGGGCUAAGAAUUAAAUUCCUCAGAAUAGGCAUCCAACCAAGGGAAUGAAAGUACCUAAUGGACUUGCAUUUUCGUUGUGCCUUUUCAGUCUUUUGUUUUGUGGAAUGAAAGGACCCAAUGGGCUUGUAUUUUUAGUUGGGCCCUCCAAUUAUUUUUUUAACCUCAUCCUAAACAUCCAAAGGACCCAAAAGAAAAAAAAAAUUGUUUUCUUUGAGAAGUAUAUUCCAACGCCUCCUAAAUAAAUUGUUUAUAUUUUACUAUAAACUUUUAUAAAUAGAAAUUUCAAUAUUAUAUUAAAUAAAUGUUACUGCCAUUUUUUUUUUUGAGAAAAUUUCUUUUUAUUAUUUAAAGGGAAAUUUAAUUAGAAAGUAGUUUAAGGACUUUGGUUAAUUAUGAUUUAAAAUUACCAUAAGUUUGAAAAAUAAUGUCUAAGUAUUUAUUAUUGUAACAUAUUGACCAAAAUAAGAAUAUUAAAAUUUUAAAUAAUUUUUUAUUUUGAUAGAAAAUUUAACCUAUAGUUAAAUAAAUCAUUAUAUUAUUUAAAAACCAAAUUUUAAUCUUUUUCGUAUUUUAUAGAAGAAUCCUAAUUAAGAAAUCUUAGGACCCAUUUAUCAUUGCUUUUAAAAACAAUUUUUUAUUCUUUAACUUAACAAGAAGUUUUAAAAAGCAUAAUCAAACAAAGCCAUAUUUUUAUUUUUAUUUUAAAAAAAACAGGUGAAAACAAUUCCUACUUGUGUUUCUUAAAAUUAUUUUUUAUUUCAUUUUAAUUUUUAAAAGUUUUUUAAAAAAUAUUAAAAAAAUGUUUUUAAAUGACAAGGUCAAACACGCUUGUAGAUUUUGAGUAAUAUGAUACAAGUUGUUUGGGGUUUAAGGCCAUGUCAAUUGGGCAAGUGGGUUAUUGGUCCUUGUUGCUUACAAGUUAAAAAGGAAUUUAUGUAUUUAAGAACUAUAGUUUCAAACCCUAACCAAUACCAAGAAUUCCUAUUGAAAAGUAGUUUUAAGUUCCAACACUAGAAAUUUCUCAAUAUCCUUAAAACAUUUGCAUUUGGUAAUUGAAAUAAAAUACUCACAUUUUGUUGACAAUCCUAUGGCGUGAAUUAGGCGAAAGAUGAGGCUUCCAAUCAUCUCCAUCCAUGGCAGUUCAGCCUGAGCAGGUAGAGCUCUGAUUAAAAAAAAAAAAGGAAGAAGAAAAACUUAUCAGUUUCCUGUACUUCUUACUAAAAAAAGAACCUGAGAAAGAAAAUCAAAUAAUCACAUCAUGGUAUUUAAAAGAAGCAAACUAUCCAUUUCCUCCAAUCAAUAAAAAAUUCAAAAUAAAAAGCAAGAAAGAAAAUCAUGCCAUGAUAAUAAAAUGAAAUGAGUAAUCAGUUUUCAUAUUUCCCGCAGAAUCAAAAAUUGGAAGUGAAACCCAAGAAUUUGGAUAUGAUAUUCAAAUGAACAGAAUAAUAAUAAAAAAUUGAAAAUAAAACCAAAGAAACGAAAACCGCGCCAUGAUAUGAAAAUGAAUUGAAUAAUCGGUUUUUUAUCACGAUCUUUCAAUGAAUCGAAUAAUUGAUUUUCUUUGUUGAAUUAAAAAUAAAAAACUGAGGAUAAACCCAAGAAGGUAAUCAUGCCAUGAUGUUAAAAAAAGUUGAAUUACCAGUUUUUUAGAUUGAAUCGGAAAUUGAAAAAGAAGCCCAAGAAAGAAAAUCACGCCAUGAUAUUGAAAUCAAGUGAAUUAUUACUUUUCUCUUCUUUAUCAAAAAUGCCAAACGAAACCCUAGAAAGAAUGCUACGCUCUGAUAUUAAAACGGAUAGAAACAGUCAGUUAUCCCUAGCAAAUCAAAAAUGGAAAAUGAAAUCCAAAAAAGAAAAUCACGCCCUGAAUCAAAAUGAAUCAAAUUAUCUGUCAUCUCUACUAAAUCAAAAAUUGAAAAUGAAACCAAAAAGGAAAAUGACGCCAUGGUAUUCAUGCGAAUUGAAUAAUUAGUUCUUUAUGGAGUCAUUAAAAUAAAUAAAUUAUCGAAGAAAAAAACCGAAUGAAAUAAUUAGUUUUUUCCAUUGAAUCAAAAUAGAGAGAGAAAAUCAGUGCAUGGUAUUGAAUGAAGUGAAAUGGAAAAAAUAAUAAUAAUAAGAAGGAACCUGGGACUGGGAGUAAGUGGGAUGAGAGGGCAGUUUUAGAGAAACCCUAGCCCUUCUGAUUCGGAAUGUCAUGGCUUUGAUGCUCUAAGAUAAAAGUUUCUGCUUAUGAGAGAAACAAACUAGGAAAAGUUUUUUGCUUCGCGGAGAAGAAAGUACGAAUAACACCUACCUAUUUAUAUUAAAAAAAAUAAUAAAUAAAUAAAUAAAACCCUAAGUGUCGUCGGUUACGUGGUUCACACUUGACAGCAAGCAUGAAAGGCGUGGAGUGCCCACUGUCCACCUUCCCCAACUCACCCUACAGUUUAGUUUCUCUCUACAAUAUUGCACUUUCUCCCUCUAGUGGCCUCUCGAUUCUGCAAUGGACACAAAAGCAACAGCGGCGACGUUGCAGCUUGUCUAUUGCGAAAUCGAGUCUUUUCAUCACACCUGUCCUAUUACUUCCAAGAAGAGACCUAGCCCUUCUGGAAUAGUUGCAUUUCGACGACCAAACGACAUGGUUCAGGCCAUGGCUACCGCCCCCAAACCUACUCAAACAUAAUCUUCUGGAUCGUCUCCGAGGAAGGGGUUUGUCAAUGGAUCUUCGAGAUCUCCGUUUGUCUGACGUUUCAAAGGUUGUAGCCAUUUCUAUCAAACGGAAUCUUCUGGAUCAUCUUCGAGGCAAGAAAAUUCAACACAUUCUUGAAAUAUGAGAUUAGUGUUUCAGAGUUGUUCUUUAUUUUUCUUGUCUGUUUUCUUAGGAACCGAAGAACAAGAUUUUUUUUUUUUUCGUUUUUUUUCCUGUUUUUGGUUUUAUGAUUCAUUUGAUUUUAGGGAAAUUUAGGAAAAUUAAGCAAGAAAAUGCAACACAUUCUUGAACUACGAGACUAGGAAAUGUUUCAGAUUUGUUAUUUACUUUUCUUGUUUGUUUUCUUGGGACUUGAAGAAUGGGAAUUUUUUUUCCAUUUUUUUUCUUCUUAUUUUUGGUUUUAUGGUCCAUUUGAUUUCUAGGAAAUUUAGGAAUAAACAAGAAAAAUGCAACGCAGUCUUGAAAUAUGAGACUAGGAAAUGUUUCGGUUUCAGUUUUUUGAGUGUCUGAGCACAAACAUCAACCUGACAGGAUGAUUUAGAUCAUUUUUGUCAAGUUGUUUGGUUGUAUGUAGCAUGCCAUCCUAUGUUAAUAACCAUUUCCCCAUUCAUUUUCUAUUUGUGGUUUUACACACCAUAAUUGCUCGGAUUCCUGUUACAUCCUCUGUUAUUUCUGCCUUUUGAUUUGAUAUAAUGGUAAUUAUAGGUAUACUUCAAAAAUGCUUCUUGCUACAAUUGAUGAACACCAUUGAGGAACUUAUGAUUUUAUUUAUUUGCCAAUUGACUUCAAAGUAAGUAAAUCUUGCAUGGAUGGAAUUUCUUUGGGGAAGAAAAUCACAUAUGGCAUAUGCACAUCUGAUUCACCUUUUUACAAAUUCUGUUUUAUAGAACAAAUGCAAUGUGGGCUAUGCUUUUGUCAACAUGAUAGGUCCUCUUCAUAUUGUUCCAUUACAUCAGGUUUGAAUCCAUGGAUUGUAAUAUAAUUAUACUUAAUAUUUUUUUCGACUUUCAAAGGAAAGCUUCUUGUCUACAGAAUUUCAUAAGGUCUGCAACUGAUAUGGACUGAGAACUGCUAAUCAGAAUGUAUCAUAUAUUUCACAGGCAUUCAAUGAAAAAAAGUGGGAGAAGUUCAAUAGUGAGAAGGUGGCAUCUCUUGCAUAUGCUCAAAUUCAAGGAAAAACUCAUCAAAAAGAGGAGAAACAUAACAAACAACCAACUAAGCUUAGGUAGAACCUAGGAUCACGUCCUAGUGAUGAGAAAUCAGAGGAACAAACGAAUAAACUUAGAUUAAAACUAGGAUAGUAACCUAAUGACGUGUAACACCUAGUACUAAUGAAUUAAAUAGGCAAUAAUGAUUAUUUUAGUACUUAACUUUAAGCUGGUUUAAUUAGAUGUUAAAACUAGUUUAGUGGUAAUAAUGUUUAAUUAUGAAUUAAACUUUGAUUAAGGUUAAGUGGGAUUAGUUAAUGACCUAAGCAUGCUUAUUAGGUUCUUAAGGACUGAUUAGGGUUAUGAAAACCUAAAGGACUAAUGGGCAAUUAUGGGUUUUAUUUUUGAUAACUUGAAAUACUAAAGUGCAAAAUUGGGAAAUUGGAGUUAGUGGAAUGCCACCUCCUACUUGGGUGGAUUGGUGGCAGCCCUUUAUAAGGGGGCUACAACUCGUUUUGCACUGGUUCCCCUGCAACAACUUGGGUUAGAGGGAGGAUCUAGAGAGAGAAAGUGUAGAUUUGAGGUAAGCAGGUUGUUUGAUUUUGUAAUUUUCAUUUAUUUUGGUUCCUAAUGGUAUGUUGAAAAGAAUUAACAGUAAAAAUUGUGUAAAAGUUGAGUGUAAUUAGCUAUAAACCUAUUUUAGUUAAAAAAAAUCGCAAUUAAUUAAAUAUUAAAAUAUUUUAACUUAAGAUUAGUAACAUGUGAUGAAUUGGGUUAUUUGGACACUUGGGAUUUGUUAAUAGGUUAGGCUUUAAGAAAAUCAAAAGAAUUAGUGUUUGGUAAUUAAUUAGGGAAAUUCAUAUGAAUUGUAAAUAUUGUUUAAUUCAAUUCAAAUUUGAUUUGAAAACCUGUAGAUAUAUAGAUUAGAGAAUAUGAGAAUUAAAAAUUAGCAACAGUAAACUGUAUAAAUUUUCAUGAUUAGGAAACAUAAAUUAUGUUGUUUCAUUUCAUUUCAGUUCCUCGUAAAUAGGCAAAGAUCGCCUACUUAGAAGAAACACAAAAAAGAAGUCGGUGUAAGGUAGGGAAUUUUAUGCUAUUCUAUGAUGUAUCUGAUUUCUUUCCUUGAAUCAUUUGUUGGAAUUUCAUGUUAUUUCUAUGAUUUCAUAAAAAUGUUUUAAUGUGUCAUUGCAUCUCGGUUUAUUGCAUUGAAAUGUUACCAUGAUAUUGGAACGUAUAUUGGUAUGAAGAUUCAUGGUGUGGUUGCAUUGCAAGAAAGGAUAUGGAAUUAUCACAGAUGAUAUUCAGAGAAUUGAUUAGUGGGAAGUGUUUAUGUGAUGCUAUAGGCAUUAUCAUUUGAUAUAUUGUUUAUGUGGGACCGUGGGUCCUUGGGUGAAAGUCCCUAAAACCCUCGAGGAAGACACUUCGAUGUGGGUGUAUGGGGUUGGUCCUGCCCCUGGGUUUUAGUCCCUAAAGACACGGGGUAUGACUUGCCCUUGUGUGAUGUCCCAGAAUAGUCAUUAUUAUAUUGAUCGAGUAUCUUGUGGAGCAUUGAUAUCUGAUGUGUAGAUUGGUGGGGGUUAGCAGUUUAUCAAUUGUGAAAGGAUGGAUGAGGAAAAGCAAAGAUGAAACCAACAAACACAUGCAUACAUGUUUGACAUGAUUACAUUUGUUAAUGGUUAUGAAAUGUUUAUCAUGCAUGCUAUUAAAGGUUUUUAAGGGUAUGCUUAGGAUGGUUAUAAACUUUCCUGCUGAGUUUUGAACUCACCCUAUCCCUUCCACCUCUAGAUGCAUGUCAGAAGACCUAUGUAGGAAAUAAUGCUUGAGCAAUGCUUUACUGUGAUUGUAUGCUGUUUGCUCGCAUUGAAUUUUGAGGCCUGCCUUUUGUAUCAAAGACUAAACCUUUUUGUAGGAAUUAUGUAAUAUAUAUAUAUAUUUGUUAGGUACACUUGUCGUAUGGGCUACCCGUAGUAAACAAUGGGGUUUUGGUACAUGCAAAUUAAUGUAGUACAAGUUUCUUUUGUGAAACAAAACAUAUUUUGUUAACUAAUAGUCACAAAGUUUAAUACAGGAUGUACUCUUUAUAACAGGUUUUGCGUAUCCUCUUUUUGAACAAAUUCAAGUAGGAACUCAACAUUUAAAUUUUUAAGAGCACUUAUACUGUAUUUGAGUAUCAAUUGUUUAAUUGAAGAAUAACAAAAAAAAAAUGGGGUGUGACAUGACAGGUAACUAAAGGAACUAACAAUGAACAGAGAUAGAACCAAGAAUUGUGGUCCAAUGAUGAGCAAUCAAAAGAACAAAUGAAUUAGCUUAGAUAAAACCUAGGAUGGCAUCUCAAUGAUGUGAAACUAUAAAACGAAGAAUGAAAAUGAAUAGAACUAUGAAUGGUGUUCCAAUGAUGAGCAAUCUCAGGAACAAAUGAUUAUGUUUUGAUAGAACCUAGGAUGACAUCAUGAUUAUAGGGUGAAGGACGAGGGAUACCCUAAACAAACUUAAGGAAGUGGGAUGCCCUAAAUAAACUUAAUGAAGGGAAUUUUCUAAACAAAGUCAAGGAAGGGGGAUGCUCUAAGCAAAUUCGAGUAAGCGGGAUGCCCUUAAAAAUCGAAAAUGAACAUUAAGAAGGGGGAUUCACUAACAACACUCAUAGAAAGGGCAUGCCACAAACAAACUCUACCAAGGGGGAUGCCCAAUCCCAACAAAAGCGGUUGUGCUAAAAAACUUCAAAAAAUGGAGUCGUGCUAAACAAACUACUGGAUGGGGAUGCCCUACUACACUAAAGGAAGUGGGAGUCUGCUAAGUAAUCCCUAGGAAAGGGUAUGCCCUAAAAGAAUUGAAGGAAGUUGGUUGGUCUAAACAAACUCUAGGAAAGGGAAUGAAUUAAAAAUCUCCAUAAAGAUGGAUUGUAAUACCUCGCAAUAAUGAUUAUCUUAGUACUUAACUUUAAACGUGCUUAAUUAGAUGUUAAAACUAGUUUAGUGUUAAUCCAGUGUAAUUAUGAAUUAAACUUUGAUUGAGGAUAAGUGAGAUUAGUUAAUGACUUCACCAUGCUUAUUAGGUUCUUAGGGGCUGAUUAUAGUUAUGAAAACCUAAAGGACUAAUGGGAAAUUAUGGGUUUAAUUUUUGAUAACUUGAAGGACUAAAGUGCAAAAUUUAGAAGUUGGAGUUAGUGGUCUGCCACCUCCUACUUGGGUGGGCUUGUGGCAGCCAUGUGGCCUGCCACCUCCUACUUGGCUGCAUGGAGAGAGGAUCUAGAGAGAGAAAGUGUAGAUUUGAGGUAAGCAAGUUGUUUAAUUUAGUAAUUUUAUUUUAUUUUGGUUCCUAAUGGUAUUUUGAAACAAAUUAACUGUAAAAUUUGUGUAAAAGUUGAGUUCAAUUAGUUAUAAACAUGUUUUAGUUAAAAAUCACAAUUAAAGUAUUUUAGCUUAAGUAUUUUAUUAAUGGUAAGAUUAGUAUAAAUCUUUGUUUAAUUGAAAAAUAGAUUAGUAAACAUGUGAUUAAUUAGGUUAUUUAGACACUUGGGAUUUGUUAAUAGGUUAGGCUUUAAGAAAAUCAAAACAAUUAGUGUUUGAUAAUUAAUUAGGGAAUAUUAAUAUGCAUUGUAAAUAUUGUUUAAUUCAAUUUAAAUUUGAUUUGAAAACUUGUAGGCAUGUAGUUUAGAGAAUAUUAUAAUUAAAAAUUAGCAACAGUAAAUUGUAUAAAUUUUCAUCGUUAGGAAGUCUAAAUUAUGUGUUUCAUUUCAGUUCCUUGUAAUAGGUGAAGAUCGUCUACAUAGAAGAAUCACAAAGGGAAAGUCCGUGUAAGGUAGGGAAUUUUAUGUUAUCCCAUGGUCUAUCUGAUUUCUUUCCUUGAAACAUUUGUUGGAAAUUUCAUGUCAUUUCUAUGAUUUUAUAAAAUGUUUUAAUGUGUCAUUGCAUCUUGGUUUAUUGUGUUGAAAUGUUACAUUGAGAUUGGAAUGUAUAUUGGUAUGAAGAUUCAUGGUUUUACAUUGUUGAAAUGGUUCAUGGUGUGGUUGCAUUGCAAGAAAGAUAUGGAAUAAUCACAGAUGAUAAUCAGAGAAGUGAUUGGUAGGAAGUGUUUAUGUGGGAUCGUGGGUCCUUGGGUGAAAGUUCCUAAAGCCCUCAAUGAAGACACUCCGAUGUGGGUGGGGUGUGUCCUUCCCCUGGGUUUUAGUCUUUAAAAACAUGGGGUUGGUCUUGCCCUUGGGUAUGAGUCCUAAAAGACACGGG